GACGAACGCUGGCGGCGUGCCUAAUACAUGCAAGUAGAACGCACAGUUUAUACCGUAGCUUGCUACACCAUAGACUGUGAGUUGCGAACGGGUGAGUAACGCGUAGGUAACCUGCCUGGUAUCGGGGGAUAACUAUUGGAAACGAUAGCUAAUACCUCAUAAUAUUAAUUAUUGCAUGAUAAUUAAUUGAAAGGUUCAAUUUCACCACUACCAGCUGGACCUGCGUUGUAUUAGCUAGUAGGUGAGGUAACGGCUCACCUAGGCGACGAUACAUAGCCGAACUGGGAGGGUGGUCGGCCAAACUGGGACUGAGACACGGCCCAGAAUCCUAAGGGAGGCAGCAGUAGGGAAACUUCGGCAAUGGACGGAAGGCUGAACGAGCAACGCCGCGGGAGUGAAGAAGGUUUUCGGAUCGUAAAGCUCUGUUGUAUGGGAAGAAAGGGUGUGAGAGUGAAAAGUUCACACUGUGACGGUAUCUUACCAGAAAGGGACGGCUAACUACGUG
Molecule: ribosomal RNA, 505 nt
Filed under: uncultured bacterium
Lineage: Bacteria
Description: partial 16S ribosomal RNA
Rfam family: Bacterial small subunit ribosomal RNA
Source: RNAcentral